GAGUUUGAUCCUGGCUCAGAGCGAACGCUGGCGGCAGGCUUAACACAUGCAAGUCGAGCGGAUGUAGCAAUACAUCAGCGGCAGACGGGAGAGUAACACGUGGGAACGCGCCCUUCGGUUCGGAAUAACUCAGGGAAACUUGAGCUAAUACCGGAUACGCCCUAACGGGGAAAGAUUUAUUGCCGAAGGAACGGCCCGCGUCGGAUUAGCUAGUUGGUGAGGUAAUGGCUCACCAAGGCGACGAUCCGUAGCUGGUCUGAGAGGAUGACCAGCCUCACUGGGACUGAGACACGGCCCAGACUCCUACGGGAGGCAGCAGUGGGGAAUAUUGGACAAUGGGCGCAAGCCUGAUCCAGCCAUGCCGCGUGGGUGAUGAAGGCCCUAGGGUUGUAAAGCCCUUUCGGCGGGGAAGAUAAUGACGGUACCGCAGAAGAAGCCCCGGCUAACUUCGUGCCAGCAGCCGCGGUAAC
This 470-nucleotide ribosomal RNA is filed under the name uncultured Alphaproteobacteria bacterium. Its description in RNAcentral is "bacterial SSU rRNA". It matches the Rfam family "Bacterial small subunit ribosomal RNA", at positions 9 to 524 of the family's 1533-position model. Lineage: Bacteria; Pseudomonadati; Pseudomonadota; Alphaproteobacteria. The record is from RNAcentral.